RNAcentral lists this ribosomal RNA (456 nucleotides) under uncultured bacterium. RNAcentral's name for it is "bacterial SSU rRNA". It matches the Rfam family "Bacterial small subunit ribosomal RNA", at positions 338 to 795 of the family's 1533-position model. The record is from RNAcentral.
CCUACGGGAGGCUGCAGUAGGGAAUUUUGCGCAAUGGACGGAAGUCUGACGCAGCAACGCCGCGUGAAGGAUGAAGGCCUUCGGGUUGUAAACUUCUGUUGGAUGGGAAAAAAAGCCUUUUAAGAGGAAUUGAUGGUACCAUUCGAGUAAGCACCGGCUAACUACGUGCCAGCAGCCGCGGUAAUACGUAGGGUGCGAGCGUUGUUCGGAAUCACUGGGCGUAAAGGGAGCGUAGGCGGAACUGUAAGUUAGAAGUUUAAUACAUGGGCUCAACCCGUGGUCUGCUUUUAAUACUGCGGUUCUUGAGUAUGGGAGAGGGCGAUGGAAUUCCAGGUGUAGCGGUGGAAUGCGUAGAUAUCUGGAAGAACACCAGUAGCGAAGGCGGUCGCCUGGCCCAAUACUGACGCUGAGGCUCGAAAGCUGGGGGAGCAAACAGGAUUAGAUACCCCUGUAGUC